Papaver somniferum (opium poppy) is the source of this 188-nucleotide long non-coding RNA. RefSeq lists it as uncharacterized. The record is from RefSeq and is a predicted model, not a curated record. Lineage: Eukaryota; Viridiplantae; Streptophyta; Magnoliopsida; Ranunculales; Papaveraceae. The transcript is spliced from 3 exons.
CAAAUCUUGCAGAAAGCUAUUCAGCAACACGGGCGAGGCUAGGUAAUGGACACCCUGACAGAAAUUCAGGAACGUCAUGGGGCUGUUAGAGACGUCGAGAGUAAGCUUCUUGAGUUGCAACAGAUUUUCAUGGACAUAGCAGUGUUGGUGGAGUCACAAGGUGACAUGCUGGACAAUAUAGAAUCACA